Long non-coding RNA from Humulus lupulus (European hop), 1414 nucleotides. RefSeq lists it as uncharacterized. The record is from RefSeq and is a predicted model, not a curated record. The transcript has 2 exons. Lineage: Eukaryota; Viridiplantae; Streptophyta; Magnoliopsida; Rosales; Cannabaceae.
AUCCAAAAGUUAUUCCCUUGAUUUGAAAACCAAAACCUCCCUAAACCUCCUUAACUACUAACAUUCAUCCAAGUUAUAGCGUUCAGGGUAGGCUCUUAGUUAUAACUUGAUUUUUAUCACAACAUCUUCAUUUUGACUCAUGCUAUUUUAUUUGUUGAUGACACCAUGGAGUCAGGUAUGUUCGACUUGCGCGAGAAUCUGCCCAAGGUCAAGAGCGAAAAACAAUGUCGGAGUAAGGACAUUAAAAAAAUGCCUCUUCCCCCUUCGAAGGCUGUAAAUAUAUCCAUCUCAACCAAGCCCAGCGAAAUUCCUCCUCCUUUAAGUGAGGCAACAUCCAGCUUGGGUAAAGGCAAAGAUCCUGAGACCCAUCUAACUGCUACCCCGAUUCUCAAAGGUUCCAGCCAUCAAAUCUCCAAGAGGUUCUUCGCGGCACCUUAUAAGCAGGUUCAGCCUCCAUCACUCAGCUGGUGCUUUCGACCCCAGUCUUGGCUCGUAAAAAAUAUCACGGGUCAACCAAUUAUUGAGUAUCCUAACUCCUAGAGAUUGGAAGUUCUUGAGGAGUGAGAGCUCUUUUGCAAUUCAAGUCAGGACUAAUGCCUUAUUAACUGUGGUAUGUGCUCACGUUGCAGUGAGCGAGAAGGCCGUGAUAGACACCAAAUAGGCUCAAGCACAAGCUGAAAUAGCCUUGGAUUCAACUAAGAAUGAGUUGCGGGAGAGUCAAGACAAAGUCGCUAAACUUGAGUCCAGCUGGAGGGUGCUCAAGGAGAGGUGAAGAAAGCUCACUAAACUGAGUUUGAGCUUAUCAAGAAAUGUUCCCAGCUGGCAAAAGAGAAUAAAAUAGCACUAGUUUAAUCGAACAAAAAAAUAACCGCCUCGAGCAGGAAUUUAAAGCUAAGAAGGAGGAGUACUUUGAGGUGGCAUGCUAUCGUGUUUGACUUUCAACCCUGAAGGUGAUUUUUCCUUCCUCGAAUCGGCUCGCGACAUGUUCAUAGAGAAGUUCAAAGCUCGCCAUGCUGCCAAAAUGGCUACUUAGACAACUAUCCAAGAUGCAAGCACUGAUAAAGAGCUAGGAGACGAAGUUACCUUGGGGUGCCAACAAUUGGAUCUCUGCACUGAUAAAGAGCUAGGAGACGAAGUUACCUUGGCGUGCCAACAAUUGGAUCUCUGCACUGAUAAAGAGCUAGGAGACGAAGUUACCUUGGGGUGCCAACAAUUGGAUCUCUACUCUUUUCUUAUUAUUAUUAUUAUCUUGAUCAGGUCCUUGGGGCCAAGACAAUUAUAUGCUCGAAAGGACGAGCAUCCAUUUAUUUUUGUUUUUAUUCCUAUUUUUUUAGGAGGUUAUCGAUUAGAACUUGUAUUUUUUUCACUUUUAAAUAGUUUGCAAAAUUAAUUGUGAAAUCAGUUUGUUUAUCUA